This 381-nucleotide ribosomal RNA is filed under the name uncultured eukaryote. RNAcentral describes it as "partial 18S ribosomal RNA". It matches the Rfam family "Eukaryotic small subunit ribosomal RNA", at positions 592 to 976 of the family's 1831-position model. The record is from RNAcentral.
CAAUAGCGUAUAUUAAAGUUGUUGCAGUUAAAAAGCUCGUAGUCGGAUUUUGGCAUCACGCCGAACUGUCAGCCGAUUGGUUUGUACGGUUUGGCGGGUGCUCUCCUUCCGGAAGCUCGUUCCCUUCUUAGUUGACGGGUUCGAUGGUUCCGGGUCUUUUACUUUGAAAAAAUUAGAGUGUUCAAAGCAGGCCUAUGCUCUGAAUAGGUUAGCAUGGAAUAAUAGAAUAGGACUUUGGUUCUAUUUUGUUGGUUUCUAGGACCGAAGUAAUGAUUAAUAGGGACAGUUGGGGGCAUUCAUAUUCCAAUGUCAGAGGUGAAAUUCUUGGAUUAUCGGAAGAUGAACUUCUGCGAAANCANNNGCCAAGGAUGUUUUCAUNGA